GAGUGUGUGCGAGUACCUUUA
This 21-nucleotide non-coding RNA is filed under the name Rattus norvegicus (Norway rat). The record is from RNAcentral. Lineage: Eukaryota; Metazoa; Chordata; Mammalia; Rodentia; Muridae.